GGAACGGGUGAGUAGCACGUGAGCAACUGCCCCGAAGACUGGGACAACACCGGGAAACCGGUGCUAAUACCGGAUAUCCCUAUCGGACCGCAUGAUCUGAUAAGGAAAUGGAUUCCGCUUCGGGAGGGGCUCGCGGCCUAUCAGCUAGUUGGUGAGGUAAUAGCUCACCAAGGCAUCGACGGGUAGCUGGUCUGAGAGGACGAUCAGCCACACUGGGACUGAGACACGGCCCAGACUCCUACGGGAGGCAGCAGUGGGGAAUCUUGCGCAAUGGGCGAAAGCCUGACGCAGCAACGCCGCGUGGAGGACGAAGGCUUUCUGAGUUGUAAACUCCUUUCAGCAGGGACCGAUUGUGACGGUACCUGCAGAAGAAGCACCGGCCAACUACGUGCCAGCAGCCCGCGGUGAUACGUAGGGUGCAAGCCGUUGUCCGGAUUUAUUGGGCGUAAAGAGCUCGUAGGCGGUUUGAUUAGUCGGGUGUGAAACCUCCAGGCUUAACCUGGAGCCGCCACUCGAUACUGUCAUGACUAAGAAUUCGGUAGG
This 543-nucleotide ribosomal RNA is filed under the name uncultured bacterium. RNAcentral's name for it is "bacterial SSU rRNA". It matches the Rfam family "Bacterial small subunit ribosomal RNA", at positions 99 to 657 of the family's 1533-position model. The record is from RNAcentral.